This 503-nucleotide ribosomal RNA is filed under the name uncultured bacterium. RNAcentral's name for it is "partial 16S ribosomal RNA". It matches the Rfam family "Bacterial small subunit ribosomal RNA", at positions 28 to 507 of the family's 1533-position model. The record is from RNAcentral.
GACGAACGCUGGCGGCGUGCUUAACACAUGCAAGUCGAACGGUGAAGCGCUUUCCUUUUUGGUUGGUGUGGAUGAGUGGCGAACGGGUGAGUAACACGUGAGUAACCUGCCCCCUUCUUCUGGAUAACCGCAUGAAAGUGUGGCUAAUACGGGAUAUUCUGCGCCUGCUGCAUGGUGGGUGUGGGAAAGAUUGUGCCUUUGGGUGUUUUCGGUGGGGGAUGGGCUCGCGGCCUAUCAGCUUGUUGGUGGGGUGAUGGCCUACCAAGGCGGUGACGGGUAGCCGGCCUGAGAGGGUGGACGGUCACACUGGGACUGAGACACGGCCCAGACUCCUACGGGAGGCAGCAGUGGGGGAUAUUGCACAAUGGGCGCAAGCCUGAUGCAGCGACGCCGCGUGAGGGAUGGAGGCCUUCGGGUUGUGAACCUCUUUCGCCAGUGAAGCAGGCCUGCUCCUUGUGGGUGGGUUGACGGUAGCUGGAUAAGAAGCGCCGGCUAACUACGUG